CUUUCUUUCUUUCUCUGUCUUUCCUCUUUCUCUCUUUCCUUCUUUCUUUUUUUUCUUCUUUCUUUCCUUCCUUCCUUCCUUCUUUCUUUUCUUUCUUUCCAUUUUUUUUCCUCCAGAAGAAUGGAAACAAUAUUCUUUUCCGAUCAGUUCAGUAAUACAAUGUCCUUCAGUGUCUAUAUGAGCAUUUCAGUGGAGAAGAAAAGAAACUUUGCUACCUGGGAACUGAAGACUGCUUAGUGAAGACCCUGGUGUUACACAUCCAAUCGUUCACCUCCUUCCAAGACAAUGACAUUCCAGGAAACCUUCACUGCUAAGAGGAACUGAGAUCUAGAGUAUCUCCUUGAGGAAGUACAACUGGAUUCUCCCCUCCUUGGCUCUUCCCUGGACCAAGGACAGAAGAAUCAUUCAACACAGAGGCUAUUGACAAAAGGGGCAUAUUUGGUGCAAAUAGGGGUAAGUCAUGAUUAGUUCA
Molecule: long non-coding RNA, 472 nt
Filed under: Pongo abelii (Sumatran orangutan)
Lineage: Eukaryota; Metazoa; Chordata; Mammalia; Primates; Hominidae
Description: lincRNA
Source: RNAcentral